UAGAUUCUUCUUUUUGACAGAUCAAUCAAAACCCCUUCCCAAAUUGUACAAGCUUCUUCUAAAGCAUACGGCUUUCUGGAUGUAGAUGAUGAUAUCUAUACAGAUGGAUUCGUAUAACUCUUAUAUAUAUUGUACAAUGAAGUACCACAUGAGUGGAUAUAUAGGAAUCCAGAUCUGUUGAACCACUCAUGUUAUGAUUUUCUACAUCCUAGGUCUUCCCAUUCCGUUAUCUAGCUUAUGUUCUUCAUGUAGCAUUCAGACCGAAUGACUCUAUGAAAUUACGUCGAUACUCCCACAUAUUAUGGGCAACGUACAGAGACAUCUCUAUUUUUCCCCGGGGAAUCUUUAGAAUUACCAUUGCUUAGCUUUCAAUUUGCCUCUGGCCAUCAAAUGAAAUGUGAAUAACUCGUCCUCCUCUCUUUGAAAUAAGGGGCGCUUCUGGUUCUGUAAGUGCUUGAAACAAUUUUGUCUUUUCCAUAUUAUUAUAUCUCUAGAGUCAAUUUGAGUGCCUUUAUAGGAUAGACCUCAACAGAAAACUAAAGAGUAACAAUAGCAAGUGAUUGAGUUCAGUAGUUCAUUGUAUAACUCUAAAAUAGUAGCAAAUUUAAUAAUAAAAUAAAAUAUAUACAAUAUCCAAAUAAUAACAAAAAAGCAGUAGCAAUAUAAUAGGGAAAUGACAACAACAACAAAAUUUAGGCUGAUUUGGGCCAAGCCUAAGCCAAAAAAGCCUACCCAAUACUCAACCCGUUUAGAAAAUGAGUUUUAUUUUUGUCCAAACCCUCCUACUUUUCGGGCAAGCCUUCAGGCCUGGAUGAGUGGCCCGACCCAUGGUCAGGUCCAAUACACAUAUAUGCAUAAAAUAUUUUCAAAGUAUUAUAAAUAAUUUAAAUUAAUCUCUAAAUUUCAAAACAACAUUAUAUCUAUCAGGUUAUUCCUUUUAACCUAGUCAUGAAUUUAGGUAUUAUAUCAACUCAAAUUUGACCUGGAACAAAUUUAUAAUACUUGAAUUAUAAACACAUGUGUAGUUAUUGUAUGAACAACUUAAUUCUAACGUAUUAUAAAAAAUAAUAGUGUCAAAAAAAUUACUCGUCAAAUCUAAAUUGUUCAUGUAGUGUGUGUAUAUACAUUUACAAUUUUAUUCUCGUGUUUUAAAUAUGCUAUAAGCAGAGACAAAGAUAGGGGCUGGCCGGG
Molecule: long non-coding RNA, 1191 nt
Filed under: Gossypium barbadense (sea-island cotton)
Lineage: Eukaryota; Viridiplantae; Streptophyta; Magnoliopsida; Malvales; Malvaceae
Description: long non-coding RNA (GBAR_LNC019593)
Source: RNAcentral